AUGAAUUAUAUUUUUCUAUGAUUAUUAUAUUUUUAAGUAAAAAUAUUUCAAAAUAUUUGAGUGGAAAUCAUGAAAAAUCACAGAAUUCAUUAUAUCAAUAAUUCUAUUUCUCAAUCUUCUUUCAAAAUGACAAGUGGAAGUUAUGUAUAAUACAGAACUUAAGUUGUAUCUGUCUGUUAUGUUGUGUAAUUUAAGGUAUCAGUGAGUAACUACGUUCUGUCAAAGAACAACAAAUCGUCCAUUGAGAAACAGGAUGACCGGAAAUCACGGGUUGCAAAUGAUCAAGUUCAUUGAAUAGAGUUCAACCACGUUUUGGUCGCGUAUUUGCAAAGCUUAUCAUACAACAUCAUCUUCUAACCAUGUUCAUCAGAAGGUAAUUUUAGUUUCCGGUGAUACGCGUGCUUUUGAUUAUAUUUUUAGCCAUAUUGGAUAUUGAGGUCAUCAACAUCAUAAAUUCAAAAAAUAUUCCUUCGUUUUUUAAAUAUUAAACAGUUUCAAAGUU
This is a long non-coding RNA of Apis dorsata (giant honeybee), 502 nucleotides long. RefSeq lists it as uncharacterized. The record is from RefSeq and is a predicted model, not a curated record. The transcript is spliced from 2 exons. Lineage: Eukaryota; Metazoa; Arthropoda; Insecta; Hymenoptera; Apidae.